GCCUUCAGUGGACUUCAAGGAAGAGGCCGUUAUGACCCUGGGGAAUGCACUUCCCACAGAAACCACCACAGCGACCAUAGAUUCUUGUCCCAUCCUACGAGUGGAGAGAAGUGAGAGGACAGAGAGGCAGCAAGGCCUGAUACCUAUGGAGGAGAGGAAGAAAGGAAGGAGAGGAGAUGAGAGUAGAUGGAAAAGGGGACACAAAGGAGAGGAGGAUAGUAAAGCCUUUGAUUCAGGUCUCUCUGUUGGACGGCAAUGUUUGGACGGAUGACCUUUAGACGUCACACACUCAACAAUGCGCUCCAUCACUCCUGCCCCACAGUAGGUGGCAUGCAGGCAGUCUCUGAGCAGGCAUGGCUGGGUGCCAACAGGGUGAGGCUCACGGCAGUGGGUGAUGGAGGAGGACGACUGGGCAGGAGUGUACGGGUUUCCAGCUCUGGAGGAUGGAACCACG
Long non-coding RNA from Cynoglossus semilaevis (tongue sole), 454 nucleotides. RefSeq lists it as uncharacterized. The transcript is spliced from 4 exons. The record is from RefSeq and is a predicted model, not a curated record. Lineage: Eukaryota; Metazoa; Chordata; Actinopteri; Pleuronectiformes; Cynoglossidae.